This 332-nucleotide unclassified non-coding RNA is filed under the name soil metagenome. RNAcentral describes it as "partial contains 5.8S ribosomal RNA, internal transcribed spacer 2, and large subunit ribosomal RNA". The stretch from base 1 to 120 matches the Rfam family "5.8S ribosomal RNA", at positions 35 to 154 of the family's 154-position model. The record is from RNAcentral.
GAUGAAGAACGCAGCGAAAUGCGAUAAGUAGUGUGAAUUGCAGAAUUCAGUGAAUCAUCGAAUCUUUGAACGCACAUUGCGCCCCUUGGUAUUCCAUGGGGCAUGCCUGUUCGAGCGUCAUUUGUACCUUCAAGCUCUGCUUGGUGUUGGGUGUUUGUCUCGCCUCUGCGCGUAGACUCGCCUCAAAACAAUUGGCAGCCGGCGUAUUGAUUUCGGAGCGCAGUACAUCUCGCGCUUUGCACUCAUAACGACGACGUCCAAAAGUACAUUUUUACACUCUUGACCUCGGAUCAGGUAGGGAUACCCGCUGAACUUAAGCAUAUCAAUAAGGA